RNAcentral lists this ribosomal RNA (253 nucleotides) under uncultured bacterium. RNAcentral's name for it is "partial 16S ribosomal RNA". It matches the Rfam family "Bacterial small subunit ribosomal RNA", at positions 524 to 776 of the family's 1533-position model. The record is from RNAcentral.
UACGGAGGAUGCGAGCGUUAUCCGGAUUUAUUGGGUUUAAAGGGAGCGUAGACGGGAUGUUAAGUCAGCUGUGAAAGUUUGGGGCUCAACCUUAAAAUUGCAGUUGAAACUGGCAUUCUUGAGUGCGGCAGAGGCAGGCGGAAUUCGUGGUGUAGCGGUGAAAUGCUUAGAUAUCACGAAAAACUCCGAUUGCGAAGGCAGCUUGCUGGAGCGUAACUGACGUUGAUGCUCGAAAGUGUGGGUAUCAAACAGG